RNAcentral lists this long non-coding RNA (1685 nucleotides) under Homo sapiens (human). RNAcentral's name for it is "PREDICTED lncRNA (TCONS_00182900)". The record is from RNAcentral. Lineage: Eukaryota; Metazoa; Chordata; Mammalia; Primates; Hominidae.
UUCUGAAUUCUUUCCCAGAGGCAGUGACAAAAAUCAAACAUCCGAUGUGUUCUUUACCUUUCAGUAAGCUCAGCCUCCCUGCUUGUGUCACAUCUCUAAACAUACGUACAUGCGUGAUUGAAACUGUCUAUUGAAAGCAAUAUUACAUUAACAUUAUCAAUACUGAAUUAGAGAAAAUAUCUAUCAAUGUCACCAAUUCCACCUGUCUCUUGAUGUAUGACUUUUUACCUGACAGGCUAAAUAACAAUAGAAAGUUCUUUUUAAAAAAUAGAAGAGUUGCUAUGCAGGGACUUUUUUGGAAUUAAGUGCCCCAGAGAACCUAGAAAUGUGCUUUAAAACUUUUUGUUUCACCUGGCAGAUCCAAAAAAAAUUUGGAAGCUUUUGGUUGAAUUCCCUCAUUACUUGAAGUUGUUUUAUGAAAAUUGAAUAUAUAUAUCUGUUAGGUUACCAAGACUUAUGGUUAGCUAUCUUAAUGGCUAGUGAUAUAAGACCUUGUAACAAACCCUACCAAUGGAACUGACAGGAUUUUACCAGGGAGGAUAUUGCAGUACCUGUAAGAGGAAGGGAUACAAAUUGGCACUUCAUACAUUUGUGAGAACAAUUGCCUUUAAUGUGUCUAUUUGGUUUUCAUAAUAUUGCAGGCCUCUGCUCUUGUAAGAAGUUAGCUGCAGAACCCACAUGUGAAUCCUUGUAGGACUCUGGAGAAGAUCAAAUGGGAGCUUAGAUGUGGAAGCUCUUUGGAAACCAAGAAACACUCUGAAAAUGAAAAGGGUGGAAGAGUAAACUGUUCCUGUUUCUCCAUCUUGACAGGAAGCAGAAGUUCUCCUUAGCUGAUUUUUCUUCUUGCCUUAUACUGGGUUCUUUAACACCAGAACAAAAAUAAAUAAAUAAAAGAAUCUUCCAGAAAUUCAUGAAGAGACUUCAGGUCAGGAAAGCCUGAACUUUCUCAUCCAACACCCGUUCAAGUCGGAGGAUGCUGAUUAAUUCAUGAUGGAAAGGUAUCAAUUUCACAGCCCAGACCUCUACAUUCUUGAAAUGCUCUUCUCAUGGGAGACAUUAAAUAAGCUUUGAAUUAACUCUCUUCUUGGACUAAAAGGCCCUCAGCAUUCCUGUCAAUUUCUACACUCCUGAAGCUUCAUCUGGAGACCUCUGUGGAUUCUAUAACUCAAAGACCCAGGCUGACGGCUGGUGGAAUAGCUACCAUCUCAAACAUGGCGUGAUGCUGCAUCAGAGAGAAAAAUAAGCUCUUGCAUUGACAAUGAAAUGUCUACCCUGUAGUGACUUGUGCUUACUUCCACUCACAAGUGAUUGCCCAGAGCUACUUACCUGGCUCCAAUCUACCACUGGGUCAGACGUUUGCUGAAUUCAGUUCUGAGCUUUUGAACCAAAAGCAGAUCUUCAGAACAAGAAACAAGAUAAUAAAAGAGAAACAUGAAGAAACUGAAGAUGAUUGGAGAAAUAUGAAUCAAGAUGAUUAGACCUAGCAGAGGGCUGGCUGGAUGGCAUUUAUGUUGACAAUGGACUCCUACACAGAGGAUGAUCAUGGUCUAGGACAUAAUAGUCAUUCAAUCAUCAUUUCUUAAAUGAUUUUUUAAAACAAGUGAAUGAAUGACCAAUUAUAUACCUUCCCUGAGCCAAUAAAAUAUAUUAAAAGUAUAGGCCUGGGCACAGUGGCUCAUGCCUGU